Molecule: ribosomal RNA, 489 nt
Filed under: uncultured bacterium
Lineage: Bacteria
Description: bacterial SSU rRNA
Rfam family: Bacterial small subunit ribosomal RNA
Source: RNAcentral
GAUGAACGCUAGCGGCAGGCCUAAUACAUGCAAGUCGAACGGAAUAUAGUUUUCGGAUUAUAUUUAGUGGCGCACGGGUGAGUAACACGUACAUAACUUACCCUCAAGAGGGGGAUAGCCUUGGGAAGCUGAGCGUAAUACCCCAUAGUAUUAUUGAACGGCAUCGUUUGAUAAUUAAAGCUACGGCGCUUGAGGAUAGAUGUGCGUCUGAUUAGCUAGUUGGUAAGGUAACGGCUUACCAAGGCGACGAUCAGUAGGGGGCGUGAGAGCGUGGCCCCCCACACGGGUACUGAGACACGGACCCGACUCCUACGGGAGGCAGCAGUAAGGAAUAUUGGUCAAUGCCCGGAAGGGUGAACCAGCCAUGCCGCGUGAAGGAUGACUGCCCUCUGGGUUGUAAACUUCUUUUGGAUGGGACGAAAAACGGGAUUUAUCCUGGACUGACGGUACCAUCAGAAUAAGCACCGGCUAACUCCGUGCCAGCAGCCG